This 60-nucleotide transfer RNA is filed under the name Mordellochroa milleri. RNAcentral's name for it is "tRNA-Cys". The record is from RNAcentral. Lineage: Eukaryota; Metazoa; Arthropoda; Insecta; Coleoptera; Mordellidae.
GAUUUAGUAGUCAAUAAUGACGUCAAAUUGCAAAUUUGAAAGAGGUGUAACCCUAAGUCU